GACGAACGCUGGCGGCGUGCUUAACACAUGCAAGUCGAACGGAAAGGCCCUGCUUUUGUGGGGUUCUCGAGUGGCGAACGGGUGAGUAACACGUGAGUAACCUGCCCUUGACUUUGGGAUAACUUCAGGAAACUGGGGCUAAUACCGGAUAGGAGCUCCUGCUGCAUGGUGGGGGUUGGAAAGUUUCGGCGGUUGGGGAUGGACUCGCGGCUUAUCAGCUUGUUGGUGGGGUAGUGGCUUACCAAGGCUUUGACGGGUAGCCGGCCUGGGAGGGUGACCGGCGACAUGGGGACUGAGAUACGGACCAGACGCCUACGGGAGGCAGCAGUGGGGAAUAUUGCACAAUGGGCGGAAGCCUGAUGCAGCAACGCCGCGUGCGGGAUGAAGGCCUUCGGGUUGUAAACCGCUUUCGCCUGUGACGAAGCGUGAGUGACGGUAAUGGGUAAAGAAGCACCGGCUAACUACGUG
This 468-nucleotide ribosomal RNA is filed under the name uncultured bacterium. RNAcentral describes it as "partial 16S ribosomal RNA". It matches the Rfam family "Bacterial small subunit ribosomal RNA", at positions 28 to 507 of the family's 1533-position model. The record is from RNAcentral.